CUCUGGCUGGUCAGGUCUCGGUCCAUUGUCAUCUUGGUGCUGCGUUCGGUUGGAGGCUAUAGGCAUCAUUUUUGGAAUCAGAAAACAACUGUGCCUAUUUUUGGCAAUUCCUGUCUUCCAUCAUAUAAUAGUAUGUGAGUUCUUGUUCCUUUCCUUGACCAUUUAGUUUGGCAAGACGAAUGUCCCAUGUUAUGUGUUCAUGGAUUCAUAUAAUUUGAUUCAUCAUAUAGGCGUGUAUUUAGGAAUUCCCUUCUCUUGCAGAAUAGGGUGUUCAUGCAGCAGUAUACAUCGCUAUGCAAGUUUUUGUUCGCUACAAGAUGAUGUUGCAGUAUGUUACUGGACAUCAAGUAUCCCCCCUUUUUUCUUGUUAGCUCCAGCUGACAGUUAUACUAUUAUCUUUGUGCAUAGUUGGUCGUAUUAUUUGAAUAUAACAUACUAUGCUCAACAUGCGGCAUUCUGAUUUCAGUUAAGAAACAAAUUUAGAGGAUUAAUAAUAUAUUACUUAAACCUUCUUGAUUAAUGAACCAACCAUGCAUACAGCUAUACUAAAUAGGAUGGCAUAAGAUAAGCCACAUAUUUAGAUUUUAAGUGGAAAGGCUUCAUCUCUUGUAAGUAUAUCAGAUGAUGCAAGGCGUGUCAGUGUUCUUUUUGGAUAAUAUUUCUGGUUUUUGUGUAGGUUUGUGCAGAUUUAUGCGAUGAAUUCUGGUAAUGGAACAUCAAUUAUGUCCUUCCCGGUGGCGUAAAUGAACCGAGAAAAUGCAGUAGGUAUGGAUUUAGUAUUUGUAAUCCAGUUGACAUAGUAUUCAUUGUUGCUCUAAGAUGUGAUUUGUUCUUAUGGUCAUGUGGCAAUGAAGUAAGGUCUCCAUUUUAGUGUCAAGAUACUGGCCUUGAAGGUGAACUUUAGUUCCUCUGAGGAGGCCAAGAUGCUAGCUAUCAUCUUCAAAUGCUUUCCCAAUGUUGAUACCCUGCAUACCAAGGUUACGUUCUGCUACCAGUCUUCUGCACAGUCGUUCAGUCUUCAUAUUUUCUUUUCACUCAGAUGACUGUAUUAACUGCUAUAUUUUGCAGUCAUCGCUGCCGAUGGACCCACUGGAUGGCACAAUUCCAAGUUUUCGUGAUAGGUGGACUCCGUUGUCCGCCCCUCCUGCCUGACGACAUCUAGCUCCCACUUGACUUGCAUCUGCACUGUCACAAUUUAUCUUUGCGACACGGUCGGCAUCGUCAUUGAGCCUGGAUUUGCCCUCUUCAUUGCCUAGAGUCGCCUUUGCCGCAGUGCCCGUCGCCAAUGUCCAGCAAGGAGGACGUCGCCGUGCUCGACAAAGCAGCACAAGAUGGAUCAGAAGUGCAGUGUCGCGCGUUGGUGGCCUCUGUCAGGGAGGACGCCUUGCUGUGCUACAGGUGAACCACACAUCCUAGGUCUGUCUCUCCCUCAUGUGUGAUCUGUCCUCACAUGUACACCCUCAUGUGUGAUCUGUCUUCACAUGUACAAUGAAAUUUCUUUACUUCUCCCAUACAAGUAGUAGACUGUAAUUUGUCUACUUUGUGAUCAUGUGAGAUAUUAUUAGAGAUUCAGUACAAUACUCCAUUUUAUUUUAAAUUUGACAACUCAAGUGAUCUGGCUUUAUUUAGUGCAUGCUACAGCAGGUUUCAUCAGGAACCAUCGGUCCCUGUAAAUUGGUUUGGCCUUUGGUCAUAUUUAUUCAAACACUUGGAAGAGUUCUCAUGUCGAAUUCCAUGUUAGAUAUAGCUGAGAAGCUACUGCAAAUGAGUUCUUUAAUUUAGUAAAUAUAUUGGCUGCUCCUUCUCCCCCAUUUUAUUAUUAUGAACCUCUUAGCCACUUUACUGAAUAUGUGCCAAAUUGUCUUCGCUAUCAGUUAGGAUAAGUUCUCUAUCCACCUUGUGUAACUUCGUUCAUGGAAGUAAGAUAAAAAAAACUGAUCAUGUUCCUUAAUUGCUAUUGUUCUUUGGGUAUGUUUGGAAUAUAAGACCUCUCUAUCCAACUUUAAUGUACCUUCGGUCAUGUAAGUAGGAUAAAAAAACUGAUCAUGUUCCUUAACUACUCUUGUUCUUUUGGCGUGUUUAAUAUAAGAUCCUUCUGUUUGGUUUCUCUGAAAUCUUCAGCCGUCCCUUUUUCUUUUAGUCAUCGUGGUGUCUUUGAUGCAUCUUUUCGUUAUUUCUAGCCAGGUGGUCACUGCAAAAAGAUUUUCUGAGCUCAAGCCCAAAACAAAUGUCAACGGAAAAUCUCAUACAAUUUCUGAAAAACUAAGUUUGAUUUAUUUUUUAAAUGUCUAUUCGAAUUUUGGGUGGAUUGUUGUGCUCAUACAACCGCAAUAACAUCAUGUUUUCAUGUGCAACAAUUCCUUAUGAAUCAAUCUAUUUUUUCCUUUUGGUGGUGGUUCUCUGGAUUUCAAGUUUCAACAAGGCUUCGACCUCAUCCACGAAAAAGUGAGAAAUUAGGAAUUGUACCCUAGGUUGGACGAACUGACCUACGCUUAAGAUACAUGGUGUGGCCGGUUAAGUUGGCACAGAGCACCUAAUAAAAAUGUUCCUAGACCAUGUUUGGUCACUGUGCUGGACCUUUGCGUUUGGACUCCCAAGAUAUAUAUGCACUGUUAAGAAACAAGGUUCACAUACCAAAGGCUAAGAUAUUGUUUUGUCUAGACAGUGUCCCUCCUUAGUAUUCAUGUGACCUGGUAGCUAUACAAUUUGUCAUUUUGUACAAGCCAUGGAUACCUGCAUGAUGAGUUCAUUUGUAUGUUGUCUGUACUCAACCUGCUUAUUUCUUACUGCUUUCUUAACUGUCAUAUCAACUUGCUUCAGCUGUGAUGAUGAUUUUAACUUUUUAAGGAACCACCGACAUCAUCUGCCACGACUCAGCUAAGGUAAAUUACUUGUGUGCUAGGUACAUCCCUGAUGAUUAUUUGUACCAGGUCUGCUUAUUUUUAAUGGUUAGCUUAACUGCUCGAUUCACUUGUGAUUGAUGAUCCAAAUGAACCAUGCCAUCAACUACCACUGUAUUGGGUGGGAUGAAUGCGUAAGAUGGAGAUAUCGCCCUCCACUAGGUGAUGCAAGCUUACAUUAGUAUCACAAAAUGUUCAUUCUUACUACUCACUUUGUUUCCUCGACAAUGUUCCUUUAUAACCGGAGGGCUUUCGUUUUCUUAAGAAAAUAAGAAGUUGUUCUUUGGCUCAAUGUACUUUUCAGAAUCUGGCUUCAGCGAGGUUGAUCGAUUCCUCGAGUACCUUGGUCAAGAACCCGACCGAAUAUUAUGGAAAGUGUGCUUGAUGAUGAAUUCAUGUAUGUUACAAAUGGCUGUCUUGCAAUCUAUUAUGUUAGUCUGAAAAUGAGAACCAUCAUGUCGAGCAUUCCCUCCAUCACCAAUGUAUAUAUAAAUGUAUGAAUGGCAGGCUUCUUUGUGGUUUGUCCA
Molecule: non-coding RNA, 3427 nt
Organism: Lolium perenne
Lineage: Eukaryota; Viridiplantae; Streptophyta; Magnoliopsida; Poales; Poaceae
Source: RefSeq, a predicted model, not a curated record